UGAUUGCAUACAAUAAAGACUUGUGCUCCCAAGUUCCUGUGUCCCGGGUGUUCUGUUGAACAAAGAACUACUGCUCAAUGAGGCAGUGGCCAGAGACGUCUGAAGACCUGGGAUAAGGGAUAUAAAGGCAAAAAUGAAGCAACUUACUAAUGGCAUAGCGAGAAGAACACGAGUUCUGAAAUCCAAAGACCUGCCUUCAGAUCCCAGCUCUGAUGCAAAGUUCCUGAAUCUUAGUAAGCACUAUCCUCCAGCCAGCUCCAACUCGUGGCUCCAGUCUGUUGCGAGGAGUCUUUUCUUCCAGAGUGUUCUGUCUCAGAGCCCUGUUGAUGUUCUGGAGAAAUUUCUUUUUUGCUCCAAGAGCUUCCUUCAUUAAGGCCUGGAGAGACUUACACGAACUGAUGCUGAGUGAAAUGAGCAGGACCAGGAGAUCAUUAUAUACUUCAACAACAAUACUAGAUGAUGACCAGUUCUGAUGGAUCAGGCCAUCCUCAGCAACGAUAUCAACCAAAUCAUUUCUAAUGGAGCAGUAAUGAACUGAACUAGCUAUGCCCAGAAAAAUAACUCUGGGAGAUGACUAAAAACCAUUACAUUAAAUUCCCAAUCCCUAUAUUUAUGCACACAUGCAUUUUUGAUUUCCUUCACAAGCUAAUUGUACAAUAAUUCAGAGCCUGAUUCUUUUUGUACAGCAAAAUAAUGUUUUGGUCAUGUAUACUUAUU
Molecule: long non-coding RNA, 717 nt
Filed under: Sarcophilus harrisii (Tasmanian devil)
Lineage: Eukaryota; Metazoa; Chordata; Mammalia; Dasyuromorphia; Dasyuridae
Description: lncRNA (ENSSHAG00000022289.1)
Source: RNAcentral